CAGAUAGCUAGACAGACAGACAGAUAGAUAGACAGAUAGAUAGAUAGAUAGACAGACAGACAGACAGAUAGACAGACAGAUAGAUAGACAGACAGAUAGAUAGAUAGAUAGAUAGACAGACAGAUAGAUAGACAGAUAGAUAGAUAGACAGACAGACAGACAGACAGACAGAUAGAUAGACAGACAGACAGACAGACAGACAGACAGAUAGAUAGAUAGACAGACAGAUAGAUAGAUAGAUAGACAGACAGACAGACAGACAGACAGAUAGAUAGACAGACAGACAGACAGACAGACAGACAGACAGACAGACAGACAGACAGAUAGAUAGAUAGAUAGAUAGAUAGAUAGAUAGAUAGAUAGAUAGAUAGAUAUACAGAUAGAUAGAUAGAUAGAUAGACAGACAGACAGACAGACAGACAGAUAGAUAGAUAGACAGACAGACAGACAGACAGACAGACAGACAGACAGAUAGAUAGAUAGAUAGAUAGAUAGAUAGAUAGAAUAGGAGACAGAGAACGACAAGAGUCUGCAUUUCACAAUCUGACCAUGGAGGAUGGCCAGAACAUCUGGGUCCAAUCUGCUCAUCUGUGCUUCUCAACUCAACUGUGUGUGUGUGUGUGUGUGUGUGUGUGUGUGUGUGUGUGUGUGUGUGUGUGUGUGUGUUAUAUAUGAGGCCUUUUCUCAGAUCAACCGCAGCAUAACAACAUUCCUGCUUCUUCUCUCUCUCCCUCUCUCUCCCUCUCUCCCUCUCUCACACACACAGGCGGCCCAUGGGGAGACGCCAUCUUCCACUUGCAGCGCAGCAGAGCAGGGAGGGAGUUGCCUAGCAACGGUUCCUUCUGGAGAAGGCCCGAGACGGCCAUCUUGGAUUUGGAGCAUCAGAUGUGAGAAGUGGGCUAAUGAUACCUGCCAGGGAAACAAGUUACACCCCAAAACUCUCUGAUUGGUCCGACUUCCUGAGCUGGACUCAGAUACAUCUCGGUGGACAUCUUCCAGUUGGUGUGCAACUAAUAGUUUUCAUUUGUGUCUAAAAAUAGCAAGUUCCAACAGUCCAAAACCCAAAAACAUUCGAUUUCUAAUUAUAGAAAACAGAGAAAAUCCCAUUUGAGAAGCUGGAAGCAGAGACUGUUAAACAAUUUCUGAUUGAUGAAUUAAUUUCCUGUUAAUUUAAGUUAAUUUAAUUUAAGUUAAUUUCCUGUAGAUCGACUCGUCAUUGGAGCUUUAUUAAGGGCGGAUUCAUAACGUUCGUAAUCAGGACAGAUGUUGAGUUUCAAACAUCCACAGACCCUCUGAACACUCACUGAUAAGAACCAGUAAAAUAAAUACAUACAGACUCUACUUGUGGAUAAUAUACCACAACUAUAUAUUGUAUGGACCCUUACUCUUACGACAGCUGUGCUUGCCUACAGAUGUGACGUCACAUUACUGAUGAAACAUCUCGUUUUAUUAAUUCAAAUAGGAAAAAACUAGAGGUAAAUUUGUUUCACUCAUUGAGCUUAAUAAACUUCACUACACGACACAGAAUAAUGAAUCAUAGAUUAUUCAUGAGCAUCUCUUGUAAAGAUGGUGAUUAUUUUAUUAUUUUUUGUUCUUUUGUGCAGUGUGAGGCAUUGCAGAUACAGAAAAACAAGGCUACACUGACCUGAAAUGCUCUGCUGCAGGCCACAGAUGCACGUUGUUGUUGUAUGUAUGUACGCACAAACACAGAAACUAGGGCUGCCAGAGUGUUAAUAGGAGGGGAAAUAUAGAAACUGCACUAUUGCAUUUUCCCCAAAAAAUCUGCAGGAAUUUGGGAAGUGAAGCACCACAACCGCCUUCGGUACCUCUCGGUAAAAACACCGAGCUUUUGAUAGGCUGUGAAAUAUUUAGCAGAAGAGAGAGAAAUAUGUCAGUUUUCACACCUGAGCAGCACUUUGUUGAUUAAAUAUGGAUGUGUGGACAAGCCCCUGGUUUCAAAUCAGUUUCUCUUUGUUUCUCCCGGGGUCAGACGGUUUAAUAUUCAACACGUUCGACGGCUUCAAACACACCUCGCACACAAAAAAAAACCCUGCUGCUGCAAAACAAUCCACAGAAUAAUCUCCGUACGGACUUUAAACACACCGAAAGCACCUCCAGCUUCACCCUGUAAGACAUUAACGGUUUGUUUGAGGUCUGCUGGACAUCUCAGCGCUGGAGUUUCCUCAGACACUCCUUUGUAGUCAAAGAGGAACGUCCUGUAACAGAUUCCCUCCUGCUAGAGUCCAUCAACCAGCUCCGUUUGUCCCGUCUGUGAGUCGCUCUGCAUAAGAGCGCCGGCUAAAUGCUUCCAAAAAGCGCCUCCAGAACAGCGCCUUAAUGCCUAGAGGUCACAGUAAUACGGCGGAGAUGAUGUGAUUUAGGCGACACUAAGCGAGGGAGCGGGAGAGAGAGGCUUAUCUGCCAGAGCUCGGCUGAUUGCUGAGUUUAUCUAAUAAACAGGUGGAGCGCCGGUUUUCCGUCUUCUCAAAGACGAAGAGUAAAAAAAAGUUUCGUCCCCACGGCGCUAACCAUCAAAAUCUGACAGGAAAUUGUUGCCUGAGGUUCAUUUACUUUGGAUUUCAAUAACAGUGAUGGCUCCGUGUCCUCAAACACUCAGAGGUCUCUGUGGGUUGAAAACUUUGUUAAUCCUUGAGAAGACUUGUUUUACUUCCCUGUCAGUCGGGAUUCCUUCAAAUGCUUCAAACUUUAUAUUAUGGAUUGAUUGUACCGGUGCUGAAAUGAUCAGUCGGACAAACCAUUAUGCAGAUCAAUCAAACACUCUGGUUUCAGCUUCUCUAACGAGGACAUUUUGCUGCUUUUCUUAAUGCAGUUUGUUGAAGUUGAUCUUCACUUUGCAUGUUUUCAAGAUGUUAUUUAAUUAUUUAAUUCAAGAAAAUCACAAACGUGGCAUUAAAGUGAUGAUUUAUUGAGUAAAAACUGUCAACCAGCUUCUUAAAAUGUGUGAAUUUGCUGCUUUUCUCAAACAGUUUUUCGCUCCUGAGCUUCGGGAUUUCCUUCAAAUAAACGCCAAGAUUGCUCGAAA
Dicentrarchus labrax (European seabass) is the source of this 3043-nucleotide long non-coding RNA. RefSeq lists it as uncharacterized. The record is from RefSeq and is a predicted model, not a curated record. NCBI's taxonomy places the organism in Eukaryota, Metazoa, Chordata, Actinopteri, Moronidae. The transcript is spliced from 2 exons.